GCGCAGCAGGCGAGAAACUUCACACUGUGCGAAAGCACGAUGAGGGAAUCCCAAGUGCUUGCACGUAAGUGUAAGCUGUUUCUCUGUCUAAAACGCAGAGAGAGUAAGGGCUGGGUAAGACGGGUGCCAGCCGCCGCGGUAAUACCUGCAGCUCAAGUGGUGACCGUUAUUAUUGGGCCUAAAACGUCCGUAGCCGGUUUAAUAAAUGCCUGGGUAAACUGUGUAGCUUAACUAUACGAAUUCCGGGUAGACUGUUAAACUUGAGACCGGGAGAAGUUAGAGGUACUCCUGGGGUAGAGGUGAAAUUCUGUAAUCCUAGGGGGACCACCAGUGGCGAAGGCGUCUAACUAGAACGGGUCUGACGGUGAGGGACGAAGCCCUGGGGCGCAAAACGGGAUUAGAUACCCCUGUAGU
This 414-nucleotide ribosomal RNA is filed under the name uncultured microorganism. RNAcentral's name for it is "bacterial SSU rRNA". It matches the Rfam family "Archaeal small subunit ribosomal RNA", at positions 330 to 745 of the family's 1478-position model. The record is from RNAcentral.